This 913-nucleotide ribosomal RNA is filed under the name uncultured bacterium. RNAcentral's name for it is "bacterial SSU rRNA". It matches the Rfam family "Bacterial small subunit ribosomal RNA", at positions 62 to 968 of the family's 1533-position model. The record is from RNAcentral.
UCGAGGGGUAACAUUGAAGCUUGCUUCAGAUGACGACCGGCGAACGGGUGCGUAACGCGUAUGCAACCUACCUUUCACAGGGGGAUAGCCAUUAGAAAUGAUGAUUAAUACCCCAUACGAUCUCUUAAUAGCAUUGUUUUGGGAAGAAAACUACGGUGGUGAAAGAUGGGCAUGCGUCCUAUUAGUUAGUUGGAGAGGUAACGGCUCACCAAGACACUGAUAGGUAGGGGCCUUGAGAGGGGGGUCCCCCACACUGGUACUGAGACACGGACCAGACUUCUACGGGAGGCAGCAGUGAGGAAUAUUGGGCAAUGGAGGAAACUCUGAUCCAGCCAUGCCGCGUGCAGGAUGACAGCUUUACGAGUUGUAAACUGCUUUUAUUCAGGAAGAAACCUCAGCACGUGUGCUGAGUUGACGGUACUGUUUGAAUAAGGAUCGGCUAACUCCGUGCCAGCAGCCGCGGUAAUACGGAGGAUCCAAGUGUUAUCCGGAAUUAUUGGGUUUAAAGGGUCCGUAGGCUGUUUGGUAAGUCAGGGGUGAAAUCCUACAGCUCAACUGUAGAACUGCCUCUGAUACUGUCAAACUUGAGUUAUUGUGAAGUAAUUAGAAUGUGUAGUGUAGCGGUGAAAUGCAUAGAUAUUACACGGAAUACCAAUUGCGAAGGCAGAUUACUAACAAUAUACUGACGCUGAGGGACGAGAGCGUGGGUAGCGAACAGGAUUAGAUACCCUGGUAGUCCACGCCGUAAACGAUGGAUACUAACUAUUUGAUGCACAUUGGUGUGUUGAGUGGUCAAGCGAAAGUGAUAAGUAUCCCACCUGGGGAGUACGCUCGCAAGAGUGAAACUCAAAGGAAUUGACGGGGGCCCGCACAAACGGUGGAGCAUGUGGUUUAUUCGAUGAUACGCGAGGAA